GACCAGACUCCUACGGGAGGCAGCAGUGGGGAAUAUUGCACAAUGGGGGAAACCCUGAUGCAGCGACGCCGCGUGAGCGAUGAAGUAUUUCGGUAUGUAAAGCUCUAUCAGCAGGGAAGAAGAUGACGGUACCUGACUAAGAAGCCCCGGCUAACUACGUGCCAGCAGCCGCGGUAAUACGUAGGGGGCAAGCGUUAUCCGGAUUUACUGGGUGUAAAGGGAGCGUAGACGGCGAUGCAAGCCAGAUGCGAAAGCCCGGGGCUCAACCCCGGGACUGCAUUUGGAACUGUGUGGCUGGAGUGUCGGAGAGGCAGGCGGAAUUCCUAGUGUAGCGGUGAAAUGCGUAGAUAUUAGGAGGAACACCAGUGGCGAAGGCGGCCUGCUGGACGAUGACUGACGUUGAGGCUCGAAAGCGUGGGGAGCAAACAGGAUUAGAUACCCUCGUA
This 446-nucleotide ribosomal RNA is filed under the name uncultured bacterium. Its description in RNAcentral is "bacterial SSU rRNA". It matches the Rfam family "Bacterial small subunit ribosomal RNA", at positions 329 to 792 of the family's 1533-position model. The record is from RNAcentral.